GGAGAGAUGGCUCAGUGGUUAAGGACACUGACUGCUCUUCCAGAGGUCCUGAGUUCAAUUUCCAGCAUCUACG
This 73-nucleotide transfer RNA is filed under the name Mus musculus (house mouse). Its description in RNAcentral is "tRNA-Ser". The record is from RNAcentral. Lineage: Eukaryota; Metazoa; Chordata; Mammalia; Rodentia; Muridae.